ACAUCUGAACUGGAGAGCAGCCUAACGUCUAUGGACUGGUUACCACAGCUCACCAUGAGAGCAGCCAUCCAAAAGUCUGAUGCUACACAGAAUGCACAUGGAACGGGAAUUUCUAAGAAGAAUGCACUCCUUGACCCAAAUACAACACUGGACCAGGAAGAAGUCCAACAGCACAAAGAUGGAAAACCUCCGUCCAGCUAUGCCAGCCUCAUCACAUUUGCAAUUAAUAGCUCACCUAAAAAGAAGAUGACAUUAAGUGAGAUUUACCAAUGGAUUUGUGAUAACUUCCCGUAUUAUAGAGAAGCUGGCAGUGGUUGGAAGAAUUCCAUACGACAUAAUCUGUCACUGAACAAAUGUCUCCUUAAAGUGCCUUGGUCCAAGGAUGAUCCCGGAAAGGGUUCUUACUGGGCAAUAGACACCAAUCCGAAGGAAGACACGCUGCCUACUCGGCCAAAGAAGAGGGCAAGAUCUGUAGAACGGGUAACACUGUACAACGCUGACCAGGAUGGUAGUGAUAGCCCUCGAAGCAGCCUUAACAACCGUCUCUCAGACCAGAGUUUGGCGUCUGUUAAUUUGAACAGUGUUGGAAGUGUACAUAGAUACACACCGGUCACCAACCAUCCAGAACCAGUCUCUCAGUCAUUAACACCUCAGCAGCAGCAGCCACAGUACAACCUUCCAGAACGAGAGAAACAACUACUUUUCACAGAGUAUAAUUUUGAAGAUCUCAGUGCCUCAUUUCGGAGUCUUUAUAAGUCAGUUUUUGAGCAGUCACUUAGUCAACAAGGUUUAAUGAGCAUCCCUUUGGAAUCUUCCCAACAGUCCCACACUUCAUGUUCCUAUCAACACUCUCCUAGCAGUACAGUGACCUCUCACCCACACAGCAACCAAAGCAGCCUGCCCAACAAUCAUAGUGGCCUCAGUGCCACAAGUAGUAAUUCGGUUGCACAGGUCUCACUGUCCCACCCCCAGAUGCACCCCCAGCCCUCUCCACAUACACCUCAUAGACCGCAUGGUUUACCACAGCACCCACAGCGUCCCCAGCACCCAGCGCCACACCCACAGCAACAUAGCCAGCUACAGCCAUCUCACUCCCAGCACCCCCCUCCACAUCAGCACAUACAACACCAUCCAAACCAUCAGCAUCAGACAUUAGCACAUCAGCCACCACCACCCCCUCAACAGGUGUCCUGUAAUUCUGGUGUUUCAAGUGAUUGGUAUGCAACACUCGAUAUGCUGAAGGAAAGCUGUCGAAUUGCCAGCAGUGUUAACUGGUCAGAUGUAGACCUUUCACAGUUCCAAGGUCUGAUGGAGAGUAUGAGGCAGGCGGAUCUCAAGAACUGGUCAUUAGAUCAGGUUCAGUUCGCUGAUCUCUGUUCCUCUCUUAAUCAGUUCUUCACACAGACUGGCCUUAUCCACUCGCAGAGUAUUGUUCAGCAGAACGUCUGUCACGGUGCCAUGCACCCAGCAAAGCCUUCCCAACACAUCGGGGCAGGAAAUUUGUACAUAGAUUCCAGACAAAGUCUCCCUCCCUCAGUGAUGCCACCCCCUGGUUAUCCUCAUAUUCCACAGGCGCUCAACACUCCAGGAACUACUAUGGCAGGUCAUCACGGAGCCAUGAACCAGCAGCACAUGAUGCCUUCCCAAGCCUUCCCAAUGCGGCGCCCUCUGCCUCCAGAUGACAUCCAGGAUGACUUUGAUUGGGAUUCAAUAGUGUAGGCUUGUUUCUGCAAGACAGCAGACUCCAGCAUCCUUUUUGUUCAGUGAAAGGACGGAUUAGAGGCCGGUUGANAAAACAAAGCAAUGUUACCAGUGCUAUCUAAAUUCCUUUUGAA
Mus pahari (shrew mouse) is the source of this 1835-nucleotide RNA transcript. It is a transcript of the gene named forkhead box protein J3 pseudogene, with no coding region annotated. NCBI's taxonomy places the organism in Eukaryota, Metazoa, Chordata, Mammalia, Rodentia, Muridae. The transcript has a single exon. The record is from RefSeq and is a predicted model, not a curated record.